This is a long non-coding RNA of Onychomys torridus (southern grasshopper mouse), 719 nucleotides long. RefSeq lists it as uncharacterized. NCBI's taxonomy places the organism in Eukaryota, Metazoa, Chordata, Mammalia, Rodentia, Cricetidae. The transcript is spliced from 3 exons. The record is from RefSeq and is a predicted model, not a curated record.
CGAGGGCGGGAAGAGUGUGAGAACCCGGAGGAAGCACCGCCCCUCGACCGGUGGUAAUUUACGAAAUUCCUUUUGUUCCUGUUCGGGUUUUUCCAUUAAGGGAUAUGUCUGUCCAGCCGGGGCCCGUGGCCGAAAACAUCUGAAAGUAGUUCUGCUCUGAUUAAACAAUCUUGCUGUUAACUUCUACAACAAAGGGGACCCGGCCCAUUUGCCAUGUCACCUGCACCUCCGCGGCCGGGCUGCGCCUCCGAGGAUCGGUUCUCUCUAGAUACCCCAGACUCACUGAGAGGCUCUACGUUGGUACUAGGCUCCAGUCGUGAAGCAUCCUUUGGGAAACUACAGUCCCAGCCAUCAACUUCUACCUGCUCCCCUUCACCUGUGACAAUAAGUGUAGUCUUCACCCUUCCCCAGAGAAACUCCUCACUGCAGUAGACACUAUUUACAGAAACCACAGCUAAUCGAAAUGCAGAAUUGUGGAGCCCAGUCCCAGUGGAUACAUCUACAGAACACUCCUGCAUCUAAGGCCUGGGGAACAUUGUAAACGCAGGAAUGAAAGAUUAUAGGAGCCAGAAAAAACGGGGUUUGCAUCAGAAGCCACACCUCUUAAGUCUCACCAACAUGACUGCCCAAAUGUGAGCUGAACAAAGACAUUAACGAACAUGGCAAAGUGGACAGGAAAAAGCCCACACCCAAAGUUGUUCUCUGACUUCCACAUACCA